AUGGCCAUUGUUCAGGGGCAGGGCGUCCUUCUGCUGUACCAGCGCUCCUCCUUGAAGGUCGAGAAUGAGGAGCAGCACCGGCGUUCGCCGCAACCGUCAUCGAGCAGGACAAGGACGCAGUGUCUGCCCUCCUCCCAGACCGGCGCUGCAGGGUGUGCUACCACCAUGGAUCCUGCGGGAGGAGAUCCUCCGCGCCGCCCUGCUCGAGGUGGAACAUCAGAAGGCGAGGGCGCACGUGGGGGAGCUAACAACGGUGGAGAAGGGCCGCCAGAGGCCGUCGGAGAUGCGCCAAUAACGAAGGCGAUGCCAGAGGCCGAAACCCUAGCACGGGUGUGGGAUUUGGGCGAGCGGUAG
RNAcentral lists this ribosomal RNA (354 nucleotides) under Triticum aestivum (bread wheat). RNAcentral's name for it is "partial small subunit ribosomal RNA". Lineage: Eukaryota; Viridiplantae; Streptophyta; Magnoliopsida; Poales; Poaceae. The record is from RNAcentral.